AGUGGUCCAAACAACACUCCCCUCCUUUCCACAUCCCGUCAGCCGUCCAGUGCCCCCAUCCUGGUAGCCGGCGAGUUCGUCGCUCCGGUGACCCCUCCACUCCUCGGUGGCAGUUCGGCGACUUCUCGCCUCCCUGGAGACCCUUCCCUUCCCGUCAUUCCCUCUCAGGUCGCCCCUUCCCCUUCUCCUUCUUUGCUCAGCCUUCACACCGUUCGCCUCCUGAGACCACGACCAUAAAUGGGAGCCACUGCUGCUUGAUGGCUGCCAUAAAUAAUUAAAUCCCUGUCUAACGGCCAAAUCAUCCCCCUCUUUUACUAAUCCUUCAACCCACAAAAAUUUCACCUCCUCAUCCACCCUUCACCAUCUUCGAUUCAACCGAGUUUUCACGGCUACGAGGUUUUGAAUCAUUCUGCGAGCUCCAUAGAAGUCCUUUUGCUGUUGAUGCACUGACUUCCCUCGAGCUGAUUGUGUUGUGCCAUUCCUAUGGAUUUUCAGUCUGCAAAGAAAAAUUCGGAAAAACAAAAGCAUCUUCGAGCUCCGCUACUAAGAUUCAUAUUGACCUUGAUAUAGCUCAGGUGGUGGCAGACUAUCUCUCCAGGUAAAAAUGGGAAUCUCCAAGGCUUCAACAGCACCUCCCUAAGGUUAUACGCUUAUCCCCGGUUCAAGCAGCAGGAAAAAUUUACAACCUAGAUGAAAUAUCUGCAAUGCCUGUCUCAGCCUUUCAGGUGAAGUUGAUCAUUGAAAUUACGUGCUUUUCUUUACACUACAUAUAACUUAUAUUUUUUAUCGCUUAGCAAGGAGCAACUUACAGUGCAAUUGUAAAGAUAACUUCCGUACGUUAGUUAAAUGGUACUACAUAGCAUGCCAUCGCUAUGAUAAAGGGUACAACUAUAACACCGAGUCCCAAACAUGUGCAUGCGAAGUCUCAUUCCCCAAACCAAUGUAUAAACUCCAUGUGACAAUUACAGAUAAAUCAGGGAGUUUAGAUGCUAUGGCAUUUUCUUUUGUUGCUGAAGACUUGGUAGAGCUUGAUGCAGUCCAUGCCUCUCAGAACAUGAAGAUAGACUCAUUUGAUCAUCCAACAGCUCUUAAUAAUGCCAUUGGAAAAAGAAGACUCUUUACUGUGGGGAUGAAUAUGAAUUCAUCUUCUAAAUUCCCUAUCAGCUAUGUUCUGAAAAGGAGUUUCCCAAUUGAUAACACUAUGGAAAACCCUAUGCUGACAUGUGAAGAGCCUUCCAAGAAAAAAGGUCUAUUACAACUCCCAGCACCUACAACAUAUACGAGUAGCUCAAGAUACAACAGUAAACAAAGACAGUACACCUACUGAAGAUUUUGCAGCUGAUAUAUCCACAAAAAAGAACAGCAUCAUGGCCACAAAAAGAAGCAUCGAUUUCAGUGAAGACUCCGUUGACAAAACUAUGAGUACCAACAAACCUGAUCCUCCUGUUGUCAAACAUCAGAAAGAAGAGUAUGGUCUACUCCUAACAGCCCUCAAAAUUGGAAGAUUAAAAUAUAAAGCUAAUUCAAAUUUCUUAUGAAUAAUUUAAAAUAGCAAGCAACUCCUAUCAACAAUGCAGGACGAGGUGGCUCAAGAAUCUACGUAAUAUACAUGGUGCAAACUAUUCCCAUUGCUAAAAACAAAGUCAACUCAUAAUAUGCGACAUGCAGCCUCCACAUGCUUCCAAAUAAUCAAACUCGCUCCUUACUAUUUCCUCAAUCUUGAGCUAUCUUAAUUUCCGUUGUCAAGACUGCUAAAUCUAAAGGCUUUUGAUGCUUCCAAAUAAU
This is a long non-coding RNA of Oryza brachyantha (malo sina), 1785 nucleotides long. RefSeq lists it as uncharacterized. The transcript has 10 exons. Lineage: Eukaryota; Viridiplantae; Streptophyta; Magnoliopsida; Poales; Poaceae. The record is from RefSeq and is a predicted model, not a curated record.